RNAcentral lists this ribosomal RNA (253 nucleotides) under uncultured bacterium. Its description in RNAcentral is "partial 16S ribosomal RNA". It matches the Rfam family "Bacterial small subunit ribosomal RNA", at positions 524 to 776 of the family's 1533-position model. The record is from RNAcentral.
GACGAACCGUGCGAACGUUGUUCGGAAUCACUGGGCUUAAAGGGCGCGUAGGCGGUCGGGCAAGUCCGGGGUGAAAUCCUGCAGCUUAACUGUAGAAGUGCCUUGGAUACUGCCCGGCUCGAGGGAGGUAGGGGUCUGUGGAACUUCUGGUGGAGCGGUGAAAUGCGUUGAUAUCAGAAGGAACGCCGGUGGCGAAAGCGGCAGACUGGACCUCUUCUAACGCUGAGGCGCGAAAGCUAGGGGAGCAAACGGG